GCGUGAUCUCGGCUGGGAGGGCGGUUCUCGCGAGCCUCCAGUCACGGCUGGUACCGCGAGACUCUUCUCUGUGCAGACCGCCAGAACCGAGUUGUGGAUGCGGCUUCCGGCGGUUGCUGUCUGUGACAGGCGUGUGGAAGAGCCAAGCUCUGUGGAAAAAACAGAGCAAAUCUGGGAGGCCUGGUCCCUAUACUGGAAGAACAAUGAAAGCCAGGGAGAAUGAAUCUAGAGUGGUGAACAGAUGGAUGAGGGACGAAAUCAUGUCAGUUUCUCAAUCUUGAGGACUAGCUAAGGUGACUCUGCUCUUCACUCCUUCAAUAACCUCAAAGCUGUAUAAUUCACUGGCCUUAAAUACUUAACCUAGGAGUGUAGCAGGAAAGUUUAAGAAACACCUGUUCUUCAUUAUCAUGGACUUAGCAAAGCUGUGACUGGAUAUCACCAUUGGCCCACAUUUGCUGCUGUGAAGGACUCAAUAGCAGGAACCAAGUGAACUGAGCUGGGGCUUUGGAUCAGUUAGAUGACUGAAAACUCCCACCUCAAGGCAGAGGGUAGGCGCGAGAAUAAUUUUGUCUUUGAUCCAGUUUUGGAAUAGGCUGGCUUUAAUGUUUGGUCAGGAACAAUGUAAAGCCAUCCCUCACCCAAUUCCCUCCUUCUCUCUUCGAGAGUUCACACAAAAGUCUGAUCAGAAGAGAAGCAAUCGAUACGUUUGAGUUUUGGCUUAUUAGACACUUCCAGCUCUGGUUUACUGCAGGUUUGAGAAUGAUGGUUCCUCCUCUAUCUCAGUUACCCACUCUGGAACCCAGCUAUGAAAGUGGGCUAGGGCCAGGAUGAGAAGAACUCUCAGUUUCGGGGCUUCCAGUGGAAGACACUCUUGGAAUCUCUCACAUCACAUUAAACAAUGUAUAAGAAGACAUUUCUCAAAUUGUAAAGGACCGUGUUAAUAUGUGACUGACUUUUCACAAGUAGAUAUCUUGGCAUCUGACCUGCCAGAAUGAAGAUUGGAAUGUGUGAUUCCAAGCCAGAAGGAAGUAAAUUCUAUGUACUGGAGCCCCAUGGUUACUUUUGGAAUGGUCUGCUAGACUUGACCAGCGUUGGAGAGUGUGUACUUGAUGAUGGGUGAACAGUUAAGAUGGAGUACCAAGGCCAAGGGGCAGGCAGGCUCACAGAUGGACCUUUGGAACUAAUCCAGAUGCAGAGCAACUCUAAACUCAUCCAUCCAGAGCCAAAGGUUUGGGUCUGAAUGAAUGUCCAGGGAAGAAAACGUUAUUUUAGCUAACAGGAAGAUAUAGACAGCAUUCGGAAAAUUUCAGUUUUAAAGGGUCCUAACGAGCCUGGAGAAUUACUAUGAAGCCCUCUUCUUAUGAGAGAUUUAUUUCAAGUCAAAGAACUGCAUACAGAAAAGCAUGGUUGAUGAAAUGGUUCGAUGCUUGAAGAUGUCAGACUGUAGAAUCUCUACAGGUAAGUGUGUGAUUUCUUUAGUAACAUCACAUUUGCCUGCAGAGAUUUUCCAGUCUGCCACUUUGAAGUUGUAUUUAAGAUGGGAAAAAAAGUCUUCUUUCUACAGUGAUCUUUCCAGAACUGCUAGAUUUUAAAACUACAUUUAUCUAAGGUUAAAAUUGAAUGGGAAAGAGGCGUUAUUGUUUGGCAUUCAGAUAAGAGAGUAAAUGAGGAUUCUGCCACACAUCUCCACAGAGAAUGAAGGAAAAUGGGAAAAAAGAAGCUUCCCCAAACCGCAGCCAGGCUAAUUUGUAACAGUGUUUUAGCCACACUGGAAGUCUUAAGGUCAAUCCAAGUAAAUAUCCUUGAGUUUUAAGCAAUAUUACCUAAUGGUUUGACUUUGCACUUGGGUUUUCCUCAGUGUCUUUCUUAAUUGACACAUGUUCAAUUGCAAGAGAGAUGACUAGAAUGAGGUGUGCUUCUCACUUUCAUUUUCCCCAUUUCUCUUCUACUUUAGUAGCUGUCUUAUGAUAAAUAAUAUCACCUGCUGCUAAAUUUUAAAGUGUUGGAAUAAUGCAUAAUGCAUAAUAAUGCAUAAUAAAUAGUAUUUACUUCAGAAGCUCAAGAAUAAUCUGUGAAUAUUGUGAUAUUAUUAACUCUACAAUGUUAGGUCUUUUUGUUCAUUUGUGAGAACAUAGUUUUUUUUCCCAGUGUUAUCUGGAAAUUUAUUUCAACAUUUGACUACAGCAGGGACUUUGUAUGUUUUGCUCCCUGCAGUAUCCAAGCACAGAGAACAGUUCCUGGCACAUAAUAGGUACUCAAUUAACAUUUAUUUGCUGACUGGACAUUAAAUAGGAUUUUUUGUGUGUGUAUGCAAAUGCUUAUUUAUCAUAAGAAAGACAAUUAUACAUAAUUAUAUAUAUCUCAAGUCACAUAUUGUGUUGAUAGAGUGAAUAUAUUUAAUUUCAGACAAGACAAAAAUAGAACAUUUAAAUAUAAAAACCUAUCUUGGUAAUAAAGAACAUUCCUAUAAUAAAAUACUUUAUAAUGGAAAUUUUAAAAAUUAAUUGCCUUAUAGUCUAAUAAUGUUAUAUUAUGCUUUUCUGGCAUGUAGUUUUAUUUCAGAUGAUGAGUUUUCUAGUCAUGGAUGAUAUCCAAAUAUAUGUAAUAGUGAAUCACAAAAUUAGGUUUGAUUUUGUUUAUACUACACAAUACAGUGUCUUAAUUAUCUGUUAAUCUGCUAUAUACACAUCCUUUGACCCCAAGAUGACUUUAAAAUCAUCCUCUCAAUUGCAUUCUGACUUUUCUAGAUAAACCAUAAAUACAAACUUAAUAUUAAAUCUCUCAAAGUGUGCAGAGGAUAUAACAGGUGGCCCUGAUCUGAUGUGAGUGGGGCUAAAUAAUGUGUUGAAAUAAUUGGAGCUUAGAAAGAUAGAAAACAUCUGGGUUUCAAGGGAGAACAUUUGCAUCCUUUUUACUGCUUUUUAAAUAGAGGGCUACAUCAUUCUGGGUUAUGUAGAAAGAAAGGUCUAGUGUUAGGAACUCCAUGACCCUUAUUCUGUUCAUCUAAGCUCAGCUCCAAAGGGUGGGACUGGUAUACUUGAUUAUGGGAGAAAGAAAAAUUUCCUUAUGCCAUUUUUAAUUUUCUCUUUUCCAAUCAUGCUGUUUGUUUUAUAUGUGCUUGCAGGGCCUAGUUAACAGUAUCACUUGUUCUUUUGAAGGAAUUUGGACUUGUGAAUGAUGGAAUCAUAGUUGCCAUGUCCCUGAUUGUUGAUAUCUUGUUUCUUUGCUCCAUGGAAAGGCAUGGAUGGAACAGAGUGUUGGAAAAUCAUCAUCAUUUUAGCUUCAUGACUAGGCUCUUUAGAGACAGCCAGCCUAUAAUACAAGAUUCCUGUUAGUUUAAGCACUUCCAUAGAGAAAAAGACCCUUUUAUAAAUGCAAACAUUUGACAUAUAAGCAUUAUCUAAUGUUAACAUAUCAGUACUGAUGAAUUUACAAGACUAAACCUACCAGAGAUUAAAGGUUUGAAAAAAAAUCAAAUAGUAUGGUUAUAUUUUGAAAGAUGAGAAGGCCAAGAUAUACCCAGUGGUUCUCAACCCUAACUGUACAUCAGAGUCAUCUUGGAAUUUAUGAAACAGAUUCCCAUGCCCCAACCAAGACCUCCUGAACCUGAACUUUCAAGAUGUGAAUUUGAGAAGUCUCUAUUUCAAAAAAUUAAUAAACUUUAUUUUUUAGAGUAGUUUUAGGUUCCCAGCAAAACUGAAUAACAAGUACAGAGAGUUCCCACAUACUCCCUAAUCCCACAUACCAGAAGUUUCCCCUACUGUGGACAUUAUGCAUCACAGUGAUACAUUUGUUACCAUGAUGAACCAGCACGGACACAUCACUAUCAGUUAAAGUUUGUUUUAAAUUAAGAUCAUUUUAGCUGUUCUGUGGGUUUUGACAAAUGUUUGAUGACAUGUAGCCAUUAUUAUAGUAUCAUACAGAACACUUUUACUGGCCCCCAUAUUCUUCGUGCUCUGCCUAUUCAUUCCUCCCUCUCUCCAACCUCUGAUCUUUUCACUGUCACCAUAGUUUUGUCUUUUCCAGAAGGUCAUAAGGUUGGAAACAGUACAUAACAUUUUCAGAUGAGCUUUUUUUUCACUUAGUCAUAUUCAUUUACAUUUUCUCCAUGUUUUUUUAUGGCCUAAUAGUUCAUUUCUUUUUGGCACUGACUAAUAUCCCACUGUUUGAAUGUACCACAGUUUAUACAUUCACCUACUGAAGGACUUCAUGUUUGCUUCCAUUUUUUUGUCAUUUAUGAAUAAAAUUGCUGUAAACCACAUGCAGAUUUUUCAUGCAAAUAAAAGUUCUCAAUUAAUUUUGAUAACUACCAAGGAGCAUGAUUGCUGAAUUACAAUAGGAGUAUAGUUAGUUUUCUGAGAAACUGCCAAAUUGUUUUCCAAAGUGGAUGUGCCAUUUUUCAUUUCCACCGGCAACAAGUGAGAGUUCCUGUUGCUACAUAUCCUCGUCAGCAUUUAGGGUUGUUAAUGUUUUGAAUUCUGGCCAUUCUAGUAGUUUGUCACUGUUGUUUUAAUUUGCAAAUUCCUAAAAACAUAUGACGAUGAGCAUUUUUUCAUAUGCUUACUUGUCAUCGGUAUAUCUUCUUUGAUGAGAUGUCUGUUCAGGUCUUUUACCCAUUUUUAAAUCCAGUUGUUUUCUUGUUGCUGAGUUUCAAGAGUUCUUUGCAUAUUUUGAAUAACAGUCCUUUAUCAGAAAUAUUUUUUACAAAUAUUCUCCCAGUCUGUGGCUUGUCUUCUCACUCCCUUGACUUUGUUCAGACUUUUAAUUUAAAUGAGGUCCGAUGCAUCCAUUUUUCCAUAGAUUACUUUGGUAUUGUGUCUUAAAAGUCAUUCCCAUACCCAGGUCACCUAGGUUUUCUACUAUGGUACCUGCUAGAACUUUUAUAGUUAUGCAUUUAACAUUUAGUUAAUUUUAAGUUAAUUUUUGUGAAGGGUGUAAGUUCUGUAUCUUGAUUAGGUUUUAUUUUAUUUUAUUUUAUUUUUUGUACGUGGAUGUCCAGUUCCAGCACCAUUUGUGGAAAUGACUGUCUUUUCUCCAUUGUAUUGCCUUUGCUCCUUUGUCAAAGAUCAGUUGACUAUAUUUAUUUGAGUCUGUUUCUGGGCUCUCUAUUCUGUUCCAUGUUUUUAUUAUCUCUCCUUUCACUAACACCACACUGUCUUUUUUUUUUUUUUAAGGGCUUCACUUGAGGCAUAUGGAGUUCCCAGGCUAGGGUCAAAUUA
This is a non-coding RNA of Sus scrofa (pig), 5219 nucleotides long. NCBI's taxonomy places the organism in Eukaryota, Metazoa, Chordata, Mammalia, Artiodactyla, Suidae. The record is from RefSeq and is a predicted model, not a curated record.